GGUCUCAUGGUGCAAUGAUUAGCACUCUCGAAUUUGAAUCCAGUGAUCCGAGUUCAAAUCUCGGUGAUAACU
Molecule: non-coding RNA, 72 nt
Organism: Ixodes scapularis (black-legged tick)
Lineage: Eukaryota; Metazoa; Arthropoda; Arachnida; Ixodida; Ixodidae
Source: Rfam